RNAcentral lists this unclassified non-coding RNA (375 nucleotides) under uncultured bacterium. RNAcentral describes it as "contains 16S-23S intergenic spacer region". The record is from RNAcentral.
UCCGGUUUGUCACCGGCAGUCCCAUUAGAGUGCCCAACUGAAUGUAGCAACUAAUGGCAAGGGUUGCGCUCGUUGCGGGACUUAAGGCAACAUCUCACGGCACGAGCUGACGACAGCCAUGCACCACCUGUGCACUAGCCCCGAAGGGCUGGCGUAUUUCUACGACAUUCCAGUGCAUGUCAAGUCUCGGUAAGGUUCUUCGCGUUGCGUCGAAUUGAACCACAUGCUCCGCUGCUUGUGCGGGCCCCCGUCAAUUCCUUUGAGUUUUAGCCUUGCGGCCGUAGUCCCCAGGCGGCGGACUUAAUGCGUUAGCUGCGGCGCCGAGGGGGUCGAUACCCCCGACACCUAGUCCGCAUCGUUUACGGCGUGGACUAC